CUUAAAUUUCUCCUUCUCCCAUAAUCUUCCGUCUGCCGCGUGGUAAUCUGAAAAGCCCUAACUUGUUCGACAUCAUCUCUUCCGUCUGCGUGGUGUUCAUCGUCGCUCGCAAGCCGCUGCCGCCUCUUCUGUCUGCGUGUCGUUUCGUCGUUGCCCGUGGUUGCUCGUGUUGAUCGUCGCUCAUUGCUCAUGGUUGCACGUUCUGUUCGUGGUCGCUCGCAAGCAGGUUUACUUGGCAUUGGAAGCUGGCUAUUUCGAAAAAGUUGAUGAACUUUGCAAUAGGUACUCCCUUAGGGUUUUCUGAAUAUCAAAGAACGUGAGGGAAGUUAUGGAAAAAAGUUAUCGAACCACUAUCUGAAUCUUAAUCAACUAAUUGCUGGAGAUAUUUUAUGGGUUGACAAUGUUGAUGCUUUACAUCAUGCAACACGCCAUAUCGAAGAGUGUAAAGUAUUUUAGACAUGUAUAUUUUGUUUAUAUUAUACAAGAAAAGGUUCAUAUUGUAGCUUAGACAUGUAUGUGGUUCAUUGAUAUAUAUAUAUAUGCAAUUUCUUUGAUGGAAA
Molecule: long non-coding RNA, 560 nt
Organism: Cucumis melo (muskmelon)
Lineage: Eukaryota; Viridiplantae; Streptophyta; Magnoliopsida; Cucurbitales; Cucurbitaceae
Exons: 3
Source: RefSeq, a predicted model, not a curated record